This is a long non-coding RNA of Erigeron canadensis, 822 nucleotides long. RefSeq lists it as uncharacterized. The transcript has 2 exons. NCBI's taxonomy places the organism in Eukaryota, Viridiplantae, Streptophyta, Magnoliopsida, Asterales, Asteraceae. The record is from RefSeq and is a predicted model, not a curated record.
UGUUUCUAUAUUGUGAAUCUUGAUAUAUGCCUUUGGCCAAUGAUAAGAAAGGGUAGAAUUGGGUUUUGUUUUAUCUCACUCUUCGUUCAACCUCCUUAAUCAUUUGCAUUUGAAUAUUCUGAUUGUGAUCUUCUGGAAUCUUAAUAAAUGAACCAAUUAUUUUUGUAUGUUUUUCAAUAUGAACCCUUCUGACCAGCCUGCCUUGCACCUUUACAUAUAUGAAAUAAUCAGCUAGUCGGUGUUUGGGCUAGUGGUCGGAAUUUGUAUUUCAAACCUAUUUAGUAUGUUUCAACUUUCAAAUAAUCUUGAUGAAUUCAGUUAAACCUGUUUUAUUGAUUUUUCCAAUACACAGUAAAGUGGCUUCAUCUUCACGUGCAUUUUGAUGUUGAUUACGGAUAAAAUUAGUCUUCUUGACAUGCCGUGAUGCUCUUAUGUAAUGAAACAUAUAUCAAGAUAUAGAAAUCUAAGAUUGCUUGGGAAACUUGGUUUACUACUAAUGGUGUAGAAAUUUUUGUUUGAAUAAAACUAUGAAGUGUUCCUUUUUUCUUAUAUGACAUACGUUGAUGACCCACUUCUUGGACCACUAAUUUGAAAAACUGGAAUGAGUGAAUGACAUGCCCACUUUAUCCCAAAUUUAUGUUUUCAGGAAAAACAAAGCAAGAGUAUCUGAAUCUCAACAUAUAACGAACUUGGUAAAAGAAGGCCUUGGAGAGAAUACAAUAACAAAUUUUACUUGGCAUACCAAAGUUGGCUUUCGAAAUUGUUUAUUCAAAGAUCAAAGUAUUAUUUAUUUAUUAAUUGCAAAUAUACAUUCUGAGUGAA